This is a non-coding RNA of Alosa sapidissima (American shad), 79 nucleotides long. The record is from the annotation of a RefSeq genome assembly. NCBI's taxonomy places the organism in Eukaryota, Metazoa, Chordata, Actinopteri, Clupeiformes, Clupeidae.
GGCCGGUUAGCUCAGUUGGCUUGAUGAGAGCGUGGUGCUAAUAACGCCAAGGUCGCGGGUUCGAUCCCCGUACGGGCCA